Small nucleolar RNA from Vicia villosa (hairy vetch), 106 nucleotides. The record is from RefSeq and is a predicted model, not a curated record. NCBI's taxonomy places the organism in Eukaryota, Viridiplantae, Streptophyta, Magnoliopsida, Fabales, Fabaceae.
CGCCCAUGAAUGGGCACAUCCUCAAUAAGUCCUUAAAACACUCAUAAGCGUCAAAUAGAGAUUCCCAUUCUUCCUGUCUAAAGUUUGAUAUCUCACUCCUAAUUUG